GNUGAACGCUGGCGGUCUGCUUAACACAUGCAAGUCGAACGAACUCUUCGGAGUGAGUGGCGGACGGGUGAGUAACGCGUGAGAAUCUGCCUGUGGGUCGGGGACAACCACUGGAAACGGUGGCUAAUACCGGAUGAGCCGAAAGGUAAAAAAUUUAUUGCCCACAGAUGAGCUCGCGUCUGAUUAGCUAGUUGGUAAGGUAAAAGCGUACCAAGGCGACGAUCAGUAGCUGGUCUGAGAGGAUGAGCAGCCACACUGGGACUGAGACACGGCCCAGACUCCUACGGGAGGCAGCAGUGGGGAAUUUUCCGCAAUGGGCGAAAGCCUGACGGAGCAAGACCGCGUGGGGGAGGAAGGUUUUUGGAUCGUAGACCCCUUUUGUCAAGGAAGAAGUUCUGACGGUACUUGACGAAUAAGCCUCGGCUAACUCCGUGCCAGCAGCCGCGGUAAUACGGAGGAGGCAAGCGUUAUCCGGAAUGAUUGGCCGUAAAGCGUCUGUAGGUGGCCAGCUAAGUCUGCUGUUAAAGAUCACAGCUCAACUGUGGGAAGGCAGUGGAAACUGGCAACCUAGAGGCUGGUAGGGGUAAGGGAAUUCCGGUGUAGCG
This 605-nucleotide ribosomal RNA is filed under the name uncultured bacterium. Its description in RNAcentral is "bacterial SSU rRNA". It matches the Rfam family "Bacterial small subunit ribosomal RNA", at positions 28 to 680 of the family's 1533-position model. The record is from RNAcentral.